Molecule: ribosomal RNA, 253 nt
Filed under: uncultured bacterium
Lineage: Bacteria
Description: partial 16S ribosomal RNA
Rfam family: Bacterial small subunit ribosomal RNA
Source: RNAcentral
UACGAAGGGGGCUAGCGUUGCUCGGAAUCACUGGGCGUAAAGGGUGCGUAGGCGGGUCUUUGAGUCAGGGGUGAAAUCCUGGAGCUCAACUCCAGAACUGCCUUUGAUACUGAAGAUCUUGAGUUCGGGAGAGGUGAGUGGAACUGCGAGUGUAGAGGUGAAAUUCGUAGAUAUUCGCAAGAACACCAGUGGCGAAGGCGGCUCACUGGCCCGAUACUGACGCUGAGGCACGAAAGCGUGGGGAGCAAACAGG